This 415-nucleotide long non-coding RNA is filed under the name Bos taurus (domestic cattle). RNAcentral's name for it is "long non-coding RNA NONBTAT015955". The record is from RNAcentral. Lineage: Eukaryota; Metazoa; Chordata; Mammalia; Artiodactyla; Bovidae.
UUGCAUAAUCCAGAGAUUUAUUUUGCCUUAAUGAGCUCUGCUUUCUGGGUACAGAUGGUGUAUAACAAUAUUGGAGAAGAGUUAGCCAUUCAAGAAUUGACACUUAUCCAAUAACUAUUUGAUUUUCAUAUUUCUGACCUGGAGGAGUUGGCAGUGGGUAGACUUAUUUUAGUACCUUACAGCCUCCUUCCUCAAACACAAGCGCUUUAAGUCAUGUUUUUGUUAAUCUAAUAAACCUCUAGUUUUAGUGAUACGGAAAUUGUGAAGAUUGCUUCUCUGUAACUCUCAGGCCUGCUCCUGAUACAAACCUUACUCACUUCAGUUCCUAUAGAAUUUCAGUAGAAAUCCAAAGCCUUGUCCAGUAGGUCUGUGAAUUCCUUGGGGACUUGUCUUUUCUGUGGAUUUAGGAUUCCCA